AACGAACGCUGGCGGCGCGCCUAAUACAUGCAAGUCGAGCGAGAAGACGUAGCAAUACGUUUGUAAAGCGGCGAACGGGUGAGGAAUACAUGGGUAACCUACCCUCGAGUGGGGAAUAACUAGCCGAAAGGUUAGCUAAUACCGCGUACGCUCCUCGGACUUCGGUUCAGGGAGGAAAGCGAUACCGUGGGUAUCGCGCUCUUGGAUGGGCUCAUGUCCUAUCAGCUUGUUGGUGAGGUAACGGCUCACCAAGGCUUCGACGGGUAGCUGGUCUGAGAGGACGAUCAGCCACACUGGCACUGCGACACGGGCCAGACUCCUACGGGAGGCAGCAGUAAGGAAUAUUGCGCAAUGGGCGAAAGCCUGACGCAGCGACGCCGCGUGGGGGAUGAAGGUC
Molecule: ribosomal RNA, 397 nt
Filed under: uncultured bacterium
Lineage: Bacteria
Description: bacterial SSU rRNA
Rfam family: Bacterial small subunit ribosomal RNA
Source: RNAcentral